Molecule: non-coding RNA, 45 nt
Filed under: Trichobilharzia regenti
Lineage: Eukaryota; Metazoa; Platyhelminthes; Trematoda; Strigeidida; Schistosomatidae
Source: RNAcentral
AUCCAGCUGACGAGUCCCAAAUUGGACGAAAUGCGCAUCCUAGAU